UAUACCCUGCGAUGUUCGUUGCGGCUUUUCGUUGUUUUGAACCAAUGGCUGUUUCACGGGAGACCUAAAUUGCAUUGCGGCUGACAUGCCCCCGAAAGGGGAUCUCAAAGGCAUUGUUGCGGACACCCACCUGCUUAGAGCAGGGUUCAGAAACAUGUAAGUCGGACGGCAUAGGCGGGUCUUAU
Molecule: non-coding RNA, 185 nt
Filed under: Paenibacillus sp. GSMTC-2017
Lineage: Bacteria; Bacillati; Bacillota; Bacilli; Caryophanales; Paenibacillaceae
Description: 6S / SsrS RNA
Rfam family: 6S / SsrS RNA
About the family: E. coli 6S RNA was the first non coding RNA to be sequenced, but its function was unknown until recently.
Source: Rfam by way of RNAcentral